RNAcentral lists this ribosomal RNA (497 nucleotides) under uncultured bacterium. RNAcentral's name for it is "partial 16S ribosomal RNA". It matches the Rfam family "Bacterial small subunit ribosomal RNA", at positions 28 to 507 of the family's 1533-position model. The record is from RNAcentral.
GAUGAACGCUGGCGGCGUGCCUAAUACAUGCAAGUCGAACGAACGGACGAGAAGCUUGCUUCUCUGAUGUUAGCGGCGGACGGGUGAGUAACACGUGGAUAACCUACCUAUAAGACUGGGAUAAAUUAGGGAAACCGGUGCUAAAAACGGCUAAUCUUUUGAACCGCAUAGUUCAAAAGUGAAAGACGGUCUUGCUUUCACUUAUCGAUGAAUCCGCGCUGCAUUAGCUAGUUGGUAAGGUAACGGCUUACCAAGGCAACGAUGCAUAGCCGACCUGAGAGGGUGAUCGGCCACACUGGAACUGAGACACGGUCCAGACUCCUACGGGAGGCAGCAGUAGGGAAUCUUCCGCAAUGGGCGAAAGCCUGACGGAGCAACGCCGCGUGAGUGAUGAAGGUCUUCGGAUCGUAAAACUCUGUUAUCAGGGAAGAACAUAUGUGUAAGUAACUGUGCACAUCUUGACGGUACCCAAUCAGAAAGCCACGGCUAACUACGUG